AACGAACGCUGGCGGCAUGCCUAAUACAUGCAAGUCGAACGAGGAAGUCACUUCGGUGGCGAGUAGAGUGGCGCACGGGUGAGUAACACGUAGGUGACCUACCUUUAGUGGGGGAUAACAGAGAGAAAUUUCUGCUAAUACCGCAUAAGCUCAACAAUUUUGGAAGUAGUUGAGGGAAGGCAGCUUCGGCUGUCGCUGAAAGAUGGGCCUGCGGGCCAUUAGCUUGUUGGUGGGGUAAAGGCCUACCAAGGCGACGAUGGCUAGCCGGUCUGAGAGGACGAUCGGCCACACUGGAACUGAGACACGGUCCAG
RNAcentral lists this ribosomal RNA (312 nucleotides) under uncultured bacterium. RNAcentral describes it as "bacterial SSU rRNA". It matches the Rfam family "Bacterial small subunit ribosomal RNA", at positions 29 to 334 of the family's 1533-position model. The record is from RNAcentral.